RNAcentral lists this ribosomal RNA (558 nucleotides) under uncultured bacterium. RNAcentral describes it as "partial 16S ribosomal RNA". It matches the Rfam family "Bacterial small subunit ribosomal RNA", at positions 355 to 900 of the family's 1533-position model. The record is from RNAcentral.
UAGGGAAUCUUCCACAAUGGACGCAAGUCUGAUGGAGCAACGCCGCGUGAGUGAAGAAGGUUUUCGGACCGUAAAGCUCUGUUGUUGGUGAAGAAGGAUAGAGGUAGUAACUGGCCUUUAUUUGACGGUAAUCAACCAGAAAGUCACGGCUAACUACGUGCCAGCAGCCGCGGUAAUACGUAGGUGGCAAGCGUUGUCCGGAUUUAUUGGGCGUAAAGCGAGCGCAGGCGGAAGAAUAAGUCUGAUGUGAAAGCCCUCGGCUUAACCGAGGAAUUGCAUCGGAAACUGUUUUUCUUGAGUGCAGAAGAGGAGAGUAGAACUCCAUGUGUAGCGGUGGAAUGCGUAGAUAUAUGGAAGAAUACCAGUGGCGAAGGCGGCUCUCUGGUUCGUCAAACUGACGCUGAGGCUCGAAAGCAUGGGUAGCGAACAGGAUUAGAUACCCUGGUAGUCCAUGCCGUAAAACGAUGAGUGCUAAGUGUUGGGAGGCUUCCGCCUCUCAGUGCUGCAGCUAACGCAUUAAGCACUCCGCCUGGGGGAGUACGACCGCAAGGUUGAAAC